GACGAACGCUGGCGGCGUGCUUAACACAUGCAAGUCGUACGGUAAGGCCCUUUCGGGGGUACACGAGUGGCGAACGGGUGAGUAACACGUGCGUAACCUGCCCACAACUUUGGGAUAACGCUAGGAAACUGGUGCUAAUACUGGAUAUGUGCUCCUGCUGCAUGGUGGGGGUUGGAAAGCUCCGGCGGUUGUGGAUGGACUCGCGGCCUAUCAGCUUGCUGGUGGGGUAGUGGCCUACCAAGGCGGCGACGGGUAGCCGGCCUGAGAGGGUGACCGGCCACAUUGGGACUGAGAGACGGCCCAGACUCCUACGGGAGGCAGCAGUGGGGAAUAUUGCACGAUGGGCGCAAGCCGGAUGCAGCAACGCCGCGUGCGGGAUGACGGCCUUCGGGUUGUAAACCGCUUUCAGCAGGGACGAAGCUUUUUGUGACGGUACCUGCAGAAGAAGCACCGGCUAACUACGUG
This 465-nucleotide ribosomal RNA is filed under the name uncultured bacterium. RNAcentral's name for it is "partial 16S ribosomal RNA". It matches the Rfam family "Bacterial small subunit ribosomal RNA", at positions 28 to 507 of the family's 1533-position model. The record is from RNAcentral.